AAAGAUAUAAAAGAAAAACUCGGAAAAAUGUCUUGAUAAAGUAAAAAUAUUAAUUAGAUUUUUUUUACAUAAAUUUCUUAUCUAGUAAUAUACCAUUUACUGUAACACAUAAGAAAAGAAACUAGAGAUGUUCAGUCAAAAAAAAGAAACUAGAGAUGUUAAAAAAGUAACAAAAUCCUCCUAUCUUUGAUAUAUAUCGGAAAAAAGAAGUUUUUAUCAAUAAAAAGGAAGAGAGGGACGCUGGUGUCGAACCCGACAACUGUUGGAAGAAAGACAAGCCUCCCAAGUCACUAGACUAAGGCGAAGCAUCUGAUAAAUGGUGCCCCUAAAUAUAUUAUAUUGUUUGGCGCCCAAAGCCCUUGCUUUAUGGGAUUUAGCCCAGGGCCGG
This 388-nucleotide long non-coding RNA is filed under the name Brassica rapa (field mustard). Its description in RNAcentral is "long non-coding RNA (BRAP_LNC005791)". Lineage: Eukaryota; Viridiplantae; Streptophyta; Magnoliopsida; Brassicales; Brassicaceae. The record is from RNAcentral.